UGAGGAAUAUUGGGCAAUGCCCGCAAGGGUGACCCAGCAACGCCGCGUGGAGGAUGAAUGUCGUAAGAUUGUAAACUCCUGUUAGAGGGGAAGAAUAGUACCGGUUGGACCGGUAUAUGACUGUACCCUCAGAGAAAGCCCCGGCUAACUACGUGCCAGCAGCCGCGGUAAUACGUAGGGGGCAAGCGUUGUCCGGAUUUACUGGGUGUAGAGGGCGCGCAGGCGGGAUAAAAAGUCAGUGGUGAAAUCCUACAGCUUAACUGUAGAACUGCCUUUGAUACUUUUAUUCUUGAGUUCGGGAGAGAGAGACGGAAUUCCAGGUGUAGUGGUGAAAUACGUAGAUAUCUGGAAGAACACCUGUUGCGAAGGCGGUCUCUUGGUCCGACACUGACGCUGAGGCGCGAAAGCGUGGGGAGCAAACA
RNAcentral lists this ribosomal RNA (422 nucleotides) under uncultured bacterium. RNAcentral's name for it is "bacterial SSU rRNA". It matches the Rfam family "Bacterial small subunit ribosomal RNA", at positions 355 to 774 of the family's 1533-position model. The record is from RNAcentral.